GAGUAGCUGGGGUUACAGGUGCAUGCCACCACGCCUGGAUAAUUUUUUGUAUUUCUAGUAGAGAUGGGGUUUCACCAUGUUGGUCAGUCUGGUCUUGAACUCCUGACCUCAAGUGAUCCACCCACCUCGGCCCCCCAAAGUACUGGGAUUACAGGUGUGAGCCACCGCGCCUGGCCAAGGGUCUUCUUUUUAAGGGUGAAUAAUGUUUUGUUGUGUGUGCGUGUGUGUGUGUGCGUAUGCCACAUUUUCUUUUUCCAUUCAUCUGUUGAUGGAGACUUAGAUUGUUUCCGUAUCUUGGCGAUUGGGAGUAAUGCCGCAGUGAAUAUUGGAGUGCAGAUGUCUUUAUGAGGUGUGAUUUGAUCUCCAUUGAGUAUGUGUCCAGAAGAGGGAUAGCUGGGUCUAUGUAAUGUAUACUGAUAAGCAGCACAGAGUGGGCACAUAGGAUAGCAUAGAUGCCAUUUUUCUCACAGAUAGUUUGCCGACCUCUUCCUAGAGUUACGUUUUUCUUGUUCCUGAGACAAUAAUGUGGCUGUAAGUACUAAUAGAGACAGUGGCAUUUGUGGGUUGCUUAUGAUCUGCCAGCCCCUGCGUUAAGUGUUCUCUGUGUCUGUUUCAGAUGGGUCUGCUGUGUGCAGAGGCUCCAUGGGAUGUGUUGUCUUCAUAGUAGCAGGGCGCUGGACCAUGGGUCCGCAAGGUGGGAUUUUUGGACUGUUGUCUGGAAUAUGUUUCUUUGCAUCCUGCAGAGUCAUGUGCUGUUCCUGGGGCUUGGAUGAUGUAGGGGAAGCAAGGUGAAAGUGGUAUCCCGUGGUUCCACGUUCUGUCCUGCUGUGGGGCUGUCCCUCACAUGCUUUCAGUGGCUGUUGCAGAGGAAGAGCCUCCGGAAAUCUGCGUCUCAGCCUUAGAUCCAAGGACAGUCCAAGGAAGUCCUAAGACCAUGGAGUUGGUGAUCUGGGAUCUGGGUUUGCUGAUAUUUCUCACCGUGAAUCUCUUGGUGGUGUUUGUGGGCACGAGAGGGGCAGAGAAUGGAGAGUGAGGCUACCACAUGAAGCGUCACCAGAGCUGCUCCCUGCUGCCUGCUCAGAGCACCCCGGAUCCACUGUUCAAUCUGCACAAGAUUCGGGGUCCAGACAUGGGAGACUUCAGCUGCCUCAGAGGACCGUGGACAGGGAAGGCCAGCCUCGCAUCCCUCUGUCCAUGCCUGGAAUGACUUUAAUAACCAAGAGUUUUAUUUUUGAAUUUGUAGCUGUCGUUCACUUUUUACCCACCCAUUCAAUAAACCUUACAGAAUUGC
Long non-coding RNA from Homo sapiens (human), 1291 nucleotides. Ensembl annotates it as small nucleolar RNA host gene 17. Its record names the gene SNHG17. NCBI's taxonomy places the organism in Eukaryota, Metazoa, Chordata, Mammalia, Primates, Hominidae. The record is from Ensembl.